Molecule: long non-coding RNA, 281 nt
Filed under: Manihot esculenta (cassava)
Lineage: Eukaryota; Viridiplantae; Streptophyta; Magnoliopsida; Malpighiales; Euphorbiaceae
Description: long non-coding RNA (MESC_LNC011721)
Source: RNAcentral
UCCUGUCUCCCCUGAAGACAACCUCUGACCCAUCCUGACCUCUGAACCUGACUACUUUGUCCCUGCAGUCCAAGGUAGCACCAUGGGUAGAUAACCAGUCCAUCCCUAGAAUGACGUCAAAAUCUGUCAAGUCUAGAACCACAAGGUCGGCAGAAAGGCAUCUUCCCUCAACAAAGACUGGACUGCACUGGCAGACUGACUCUGCCACAGAUGGAUCACACUUGGGUCCACUGACCCAGAGAGGACACUCUAACCCAGAGAUCAUCAGACCCAACCUCUCG